This 158-nucleotide unclassified non-coding RNA is filed under the name uncultured fungus. RNAcentral's name for it is "sequence contains ITS1". The stretch from base 1 to 107 matches the Rfam family "5.8S ribosomal RNA", at positions 50 to 154 of the family's 154-position model. Rfam says of the family: 5.8S ribosomal RNA (5.8S rRNA) is a component of the large subunit of the eukaryotic ribosome. Lineage: Eukaryota; Fungi. The record is from RNAcentral.
GAAAUGCGAUACUUGGUGUGAAUUGCAGAAUCCCGUGAACCAUCGAGUCUUUGAACGCAAGUUGCGCCCGAAGCCAUUAGGCCGAGGGCACGCCUGCCUGGGUGUCACACAUCGUUUCCCCAACGCAAACAUGUAACAAUGUUGCUGCGCAACUAACC